Molecule: ribosomal RNA, 253 nt
Filed under: uncultured bacterium
Lineage: Bacteria
Description: partial 16S ribosomal RNA
Rfam family: Bacterial small subunit ribosomal RNA
Source: RNAcentral
UACGGGGGGGGCAAGCGUUGUUCGGAAUUACUGGGCGUAAAGGGCGCGUAGGCGGUCUUGUCAGUCCCUUGUGAAAUCCCCCGGCUCAACUGGGGAACUGCAAGGGAAACAGCAGGGCUUGAGUUCGGGAGAGGGAAGCGGAAUUCCGGGUGUAGCGGUGAAAUGCGUAGAUAUCCGGAGGAACACCGGUGGCGAAGGCGGCUUCCUGGACCGAUACUGACGCUGAGGCGCGAAAGCUAGGGGAGCAAACGGG